Molecule: long non-coding RNA, 303 nt
Filed under: Panax ginseng (ginseng)
Lineage: Eukaryota; Viridiplantae; Streptophyta; Magnoliopsida; Apiales; Araliaceae
Description: long non-coding RNA (PGIN_LNC015538)
Source: RNAcentral
GUGUAUAAAAUGUGGGUAGUUUAGGAGGUAAUGAGAAGGAAAGAGGAAACAAUAAGGAGACUUUGUUUCACAUCUUCCUCCCCAUGGGGAGAAAAUCUCAUUUAUCACAUUUGAAUCAAGAUGCACGGUAAAAAUAGAAAAAUGACAAGAUAAAGUAUAAGAAAGUGAGAUUUGUAAUCCAACGUCCUGCUUACUCAGAGCUGAUACCAAGAAAUCCCAAGUGCUACCUCCAACUCAAAAUAUUGAAAAGAAGAUAUGAAACAGCAGGCUUGGUUUUAAAAUUGUGUGUUAUGAUCUCUCACG